GUUCAUCUGCUGAUUUUGAGAAUAAAGAAAAGUGCUAUGGCAGACAUUUAAGAUUUCCGGGCCGGUAUACACCACCUUUAUUCCGCGGACAGAUGUACUUCACUCCGAGUGAUGGGGGACCGACGAGGCUACUGUUGGAUGAUGGGGAGGUAAUGGAUCGACGCAUCGAAAUAAGGGAACUUGGAGUUUUUUUAACAGAUUUGAGAGAAAGUGAUGUUGGAAUAUAUUCCGAGUCACCUGACGGGAAAAAAGACAAAUUCAUCAGACUGAAAGUUUUGGGUGAGAACAUUGUGUAAAUAGGUAUUUCUAGUAUCUAUAUGCAGUAUUUCAAUAUAUAAUAAAUUCAAAUUUCGUUUUUCUUUUUCUGUGUACUUUUCUCAGAUUGUUCCACUGAGAUCACAAACACUUCUGGGGCUAGGAUCACCUUCGAUGUUCCUACAGAGGCUCAAUAUCUGCAGUUCACUCCCCUUUACACGAAUCACACAAGGAUAGUGUGGCAUCAAGACGACCCUCUGCUUAGUGAGGGAGGCAGAGGACAGAUGACCUCUCUCGGCUGGGAGAUAAUCAACCUCACUCCAGAAGACAGCGGCUACUACGACAUGAGGCGAAAAGACUACUAUUUAGUGUCGAGGAUAAGGCUCACAGUAGAAGGACCUAUUCCCACAUAUGUUUAUGCUGCUAUCGCUGGUGGGAUUGUCUUAGCGGUGAUUGUCUGCUUUUGCUGUGUGAGGAAGUGCUGUUGUAAAAAGGACUCUUCCAAACGGGACGAGUCAGCGCCUGCUGCUGUGUAUUACCAUUCGCGGGAUCAGAACCAACCUGCUGGCCCAAACUCCUCUGCUGCACCUCCUCCAGAUUACUCUUAUCAUUCAGUGAAGCCCCCUGCUUAUGAAGAAGCUGCAGCUAACUCCGUUGGGCCAUCGGUAGGUGUUAUUAACAGUUUUUAAACUGUGAGUUGCUUCGUCAGGAGUGCACUUUCUUUCAGCACUGACACACUUGCAUUUUGUUCUUACCUUGCAGGCGCACAACCCAGUGAAUAUCCACAUGAACCCCCUCCAGCCUGAGGUACACACAUGAACAUAGAAUAACCCUAACCUGUUAAUAUACUGGAAUCAGAGUCUCUUGGUAUAAAUCAAAUCAUCUUAACAAACAACAAGAGUGUACAAAUUCUAACACAGAUUUUUGGCUCUUCUGACACACUAUCUGACACCGUUUCAUCAACAUGUUUAUUGACCUUUUUGAUUCUGUUUUUCGUUGUUCCUUUUACAGGUUUCUGCUCCGGCUCCUUCACUCGGCUCUGAUUUUCUCUCCUCGGCCCCUCCACCAGAGUUGGAACUGAAAAGACGGACCUUCCCUUCUGCUCCCCCUCUCGGACCAGAAUCAACUACCAGUGACGUUUAUACCUCUGAUAAACUCAACUUUCUGUGAUGGGCACACUGAAAAAGUCAAGUGAUGCUUUGUGACUAGCAGGAACACAGCCAUGAAUCUUCGAUUGGAUCAUUUAGAUUGUAAGAAACAAGAUGUCAAUCACACUAUGUUGAGACAUGACCAAACAUAUUACAAGUCAAUGUGUGAGAUUUCCUCUUUCACUGUAACAAACUUGAAGCCCGUGAAGUAUUACAGUUUUUAAUCCGUUAACUCUUAAUAACUCAAAAUUGGUCAAAUGCUUGUGGUUAAGAGCAAAGCAGUAGAGGGCAGGACGCAUAUCAAGAUAUAAAUCAUUUCAGGUGUAUGCCUGUAGAUAAUCGACUUAUUGUGUAGUUCAUUUUUGCUUUUUUUUCUCUUUUUGAAAAAAAAAAAAGAAGCUCACUCAGUGUAGCUCUAUACAAUUAUUCUUUAGUUUCAGGCGUGUUUCAAGAGCCAUCUGCCUUAAUCAGGAGGUCAGUAUAACAUGAGUUAACCUACGUUUACACAUUAUUAUGUGGAUGAUGUUACAAUGAUGGUCUGUGUAGCAGAGCCUUGAGAUGGGGACUCAAAAUGGAGUCAGGCUGAAUCUGACACUCAUGGAGAUUACAACACUACACCUCACUAUACAAUUAUGGCACUGAUGCCAGCAUUACUUAUAUGAUUGUUUCCAUAUCCCUGACGUUUCUUUUAUUAACAUGUCUUUGUUGCAUUUAUUGAAACGUUUUAAGAAAUUAUGUGGGAGCUACCUAAGCUUGGAAACAGUUGCAUUCUGCAUGUGUGUGUGUGUGUGUGGGUGUGUGUUGCGCACGUGUGUGUGUAAUGUUGUAAUAGUAAUACUUGAUAGAAAUAUUUGUCAGCAUAAUGUGUAAGGAGUGUUGUGGCUCCUUUCUAUCCACCUGUAAAAUUGAAAUAACUAAAAUCAAAAUAUGAAUAGCUGUCUUUCAUAGUGUUACAAUAUUGUUAGAUAAAUAAACUUAAGGUGCAAUUUCUUUAUGGUGUAAAAGUUCUUGUUCUGUGUAACUGUUUAACUUCAUGUUGGUGGUUAAAGGCCUUAAAAAAGUGUUUUCAUAAUCAGCUUCUUUCAC
RNAcentral lists this long non-coding RNA (2489 nucleotides) under Sparus aurata (gilthead seabream). RNAcentral describes it as "lncRNA (ENSSAUG00010018065.1)". The record is from RNAcentral. Lineage: Eukaryota; Metazoa; Chordata; Actinopteri; Spariformes; Sparidae.